Molecule: ribosomal RNA, 305 nt
Filed under: uncultured bacterium
Lineage: Bacteria
Description: bacterial SSU rRNA
Rfam family: Bacterial small subunit ribosomal RNA
Source: RNAcentral
CCUACGGGGGGCAGCAGUGGGGAAUAUUGCACAAUGGGGGAAACCCUGAUGCAGCGAUGCCGCGUGGAGGAAGAAGGUUUUCGGAUUGUAAACUCCUUUUAUCAGGGACGAUAAUGACGGUACCUGAAGAAAAAGCUCCGGCUAACUACGUGCCAGCAGCCGCGGUAAUACGUAGGGAGCGAGCGUUGUCCGGAAUUACUGGGUGUAAAGGGAGCGUAGGCGGGACGGCAAGUCAGAUGUGAAAACUGAGGGCUCAACCUUCAAACUGCAUUUGAAACUGCUGUUCAUGAGUGAAGUAGAGGUAA